GUGGGGAAUUUUGGACAAUGGGCGCAAGCCUGAUCCAGCAAUGCCGCGUGCAGGAAGAAGGCCUUCGGGUUGUAAACUGCUUUUGUACGGAACGAAACGGUCCUGGCUAAUAUCCGGGGCUAAUGACGGUACCGUAAGAAUAAGCACCGGCUAACUACGUGCCAGCAGCCGCGGUAAUACGUAGGGUGCGAGCGUUAAUCGGAAUUACUGGGCGUAAAGCGUGCGCAGGCGUGGCUGUAAGACAGGCGUGAAAUCCCCGGGCUCAACCUGGGAAUUGCGCUUGUGACUGCAGUGCUGGAGUGCGGCAGAGGGGGAUGGAAUUCCGCGUGUAGCAGUGAAAUGCGUAGAUAUGCGGAGGAACACCGAUGGCGAAGGCAAUCCCCUGGGCCUGCACUGACGCUCAUGCACGAAAGCGUGGGGAGCAAACAGGAUUAAAAACCCUAGUAGUCC
This 450-nucleotide ribosomal RNA is filed under the name uncultured bacterium. Its description in RNAcentral is "partial 16S ribosomal RNA". It matches the Rfam family "Bacterial small subunit ribosomal RNA", at positions 354 to 796 of the family's 1533-position model. The record is from RNAcentral.